Molecule: ribosomal RNA, 492 nt
Filed under: uncultured bacterium
Lineage: Bacteria
Description: partial 16S ribosomal RNA
Rfam family: Bacterial small subunit ribosomal RNA
Source: RNAcentral
AGUGAACGCUGGCGGUAGGCCUAACACAUGCAAGUCGAACGGCAGCACAGUAAGAGCUUGCUCUUACGGGUGGCGAGUGGCGGACGGGUGAGGAAUACAUCGGAAUCUACUUUUUCGUGGGGGAUAACGUAGGGUAACUUACGCUACUACCGCAUACGACCUACGGGUGAAAGCAGGGGAUCUUCGGACCUUGCGCGAUUGAAUGAGCCGAUGUCGGAUUAGCUAGUUGGCGGGGUAAAGGCCCACCAAGGCGACGAUCCGUAGCUGGUCUGAGAGGAUGAUCAGCCACACUGGAACUGAGACACGGUCCAGACUCCUACGGGAGGCAGCAGUGGGGAAUAUUGGACAAUGGGCGCAAGCCUGAUCCAGCCAUACCGCGUGGGUGAAGAAGGCCUUCGGGUUGUAAAGCCCUUUUGUUGGGAAAGAAAAGCAGCAGGUUAAUACCCCGCUGUUCUGACGGUACCCAAAGAAUAAGCACCGGCUAACUUCGUG